GUGCUCACUUCAGUAUCACAUGUACUAAAAUGGGAAGGAUACACAGAGAUUAGCAUGGCCCUUUGCACAAGGUUGAUAUGCAAAUUUUUUAAGCAUUCAGUAUUUUA
Small nuclear RNA from Dromiciops gliroides (monito del monte), 107 nucleotides. NCBI's taxonomy places the organism in Eukaryota, Metazoa, Chordata, Mammalia, Microbiotheria, Microbiotheriidae. The record is from RefSeq and is a predicted model, not a curated record.